UACAUUGCCUACGCAUGGUGCCUGUUGCUGAUACCCCUUCUACUUCAUGUUUGCCGGCGCUGCGUCAUCUUGCAAAGCCUCGUGCUUGCAGCCAUGUUUCUGCAUUGCGAGAUGUAUCGGUACGGUGAGAAGAUGUUAGUGGCGUUUCCAGAAAUACGUAGAAUCUUAGAAAUGAUGGAACAUUAAUUUGGUGUUCUGCAGUGCACCUCUUCGCAGACAUAUGUCCAAGUGAACGAAGUAGUCACUUAAGCAGGUGCACACGUGCCAGAGUGGAGAAAAUUUACUACCCUGUUAAAGUAGGGCACGAAUUUAUAAUAUGGCACACAAGAUUAAAACGAAACUAGAAGGAAGGAAGAAAGCCAUAAAACGUACAAAGCCACGGUU
Agrilus planipennis (emerald ash borer) is the source of this 384-nucleotide long non-coding RNA. RefSeq lists it as uncharacterized. NCBI's taxonomy places the organism in Eukaryota, Metazoa, Arthropoda, Insecta, Coleoptera, Buprestidae. The record is from RefSeq and is a predicted model, not a curated record. The transcript is spliced from 4 exons.